Molecule: ribosomal RNA, 400 nt
Filed under: uncultured bacterium
Lineage: Bacteria
Description: bacterial SSU rRNA
Rfam family: Bacterial small subunit ribosomal RNA
Source: RNAcentral
GGGGAAUCUUGCACAAUGGGGGAAACCCUGAUGCAGCGACGCCGCGUGAGCGAUGAAGCCCUUCGGGGUGUAAAGCUCUUUCGGCAGGGACGAUAAUGACGGUACCUGCAGAAGCAGCUGCGGCUAACUACGUGCCAGCAGCCGCGGUAAUACGUAGGCAGCAAGCGUUGUUCGGAAUUACUGGGCGUAAAGAGUGCGUAGGCUGUUUGUCAAGUUCGGUGUGAAAUCUCCUGGCUCAACUGGGAGGGUGCGCCGGAAACUGGCAGACUAGAGUGUGGGAGAGGAAAGUGGAAUUCCUGGUGUAGCGGUGAAAUGCGUAGAUAUCAGGAGGAACACCGGAGGUGAAGACGGCUUUCUGGACCAUAACUGACGCUGAGGCACGAAAGCGUGGGUAGCAAAC